AGUGUACGCUGGCGGUAGGCCUAACACAUGCAAGUCGAACGGCAGCACAGUAAGAGCUUGCUCUUACGGGUGGCGAGUGGCGGACGGGUGAGGAAUACAUCGGAAUCUACUUUUUCGUGGGGGAUAACGUAGGGAAACUUACGCUAAUACCGCAUACGACCUACGGGUGAAAGCAGGGGAUCUUCGGACCUUGCGCGAUUGAAUGAGCCGAUGUCGGAUUAGCUAGUUGGCGGGGUAAAGGCCCACCAAGGCGACGAUCCGUAGCUGGUCUGAGAGGAUGAUCAGCCACACUGGAACUGAGCCACGGUCCAGACUCCUACGGGAGGCAGCAGUGGGGAAUAAUGGACAAUUGGCGCAAGCCUGAUCCAGCCAUACCGCGUGGGUGAAGAAGGCCUUCGGGUUGUAAAGCCCUUUUGUUGGGAAAGAAAAGCAGCAGGUUAAUACCCCGCUGUUCUGACGGUACCCAAAGAAUAAGCACCGGCUAACUUCGUG
Molecule: ribosomal RNA, 492 nt
Filed under: uncultured bacterium
Lineage: Bacteria
Description: partial 16S ribosomal RNA
Rfam family: Bacterial small subunit ribosomal RNA
Source: RNAcentral